GGGCCUGUAACUCAGUUGGUAGAGUUCUCGACUUUUAAUCGAGAUGUCGCGGGUUCGAGCCCCGCCGGGCCCA
Molecule: transfer RNA, 73 nt
Filed under: Paeniglutamicibacter antarcticus
Lineage: Bacteria; Bacillati; Actinomycetota; Actinomycetes; Micrococcales; Micrococcaceae
Also listed under: 1 other name
Description: tRNA-Lys
Rfam family: tRNA
About the family: Transfer RNA (tRNA) molecules are approximately 80 nucleotides in length. Their secondary structure includes four short double-helical elements and three loops (D, anti-codon, and T loops).
Source: RNAcentral